GCCGAGGUAGCCAAGCCCGGAUUAAGGCGCUGGUCUUGAAAACCAGUGUGCGGAUGCACUCAGGAGUUCGAAUCUCCUCCUCGGCGCCA
RNAcentral lists this transfer RNA (89 nucleotides) under Promethearchaeota archaeon. Its description in RNAcentral is "Candidatus Lokiarchaeota archaeon (microbial mat metagenome) tRNA-Ser". It matches the Rfam family "tRNA". From Rfam's summary of the family: Transfer RNA (tRNA) molecules are approximately 80 nucleotides in length. Their secondary structure includes four short double-helical elements and three loops (D, anti-codon, and T loops). The record is from RNAcentral. Lineage: Archaea; Promethearchaeati; Promethearchaeota. RNAcentral also lists the same sequence under 1 other name.